Molecule: ribosomal RNA, 471 nt
Filed under: uncultured Rhodocyclaceae bacterium
Lineage: Bacteria; Pseudomonadati; Pseudomonadota; Betaproteobacteria; Rhodocyclales; Rhodocyclaceae
Description: bacterial SSU rRNA
Rfam family: Bacterial small subunit ribosomal RNA
Source: RNAcentral
AGACGGGACCCGCACAAGCGGUGAUGAUGUGGUUUAAUUCGAUGCAACGCGAAAACCUUACCCACCUUUGACAUGGCAGGAAUCCCGAAGAGAUUUGGGAGUGCUCGAAAGAGAACCUGCACACAGGUGCUGCAUGGCUGUCGUCAGCUCGUGUCGUGAGAUGUUGGGUUAAGUCCCGCAACGAGCGCAACCCUUGUCAUUAGUUGCCAUCAUUUGGUUGGGCACUCUAAUGAGACUGCCGGUGACAAACCGGAGGAAGGUGGGGAUGACGUCAAGUCCUCAUGGCCCUUAUGGGUAGGGCUUCACACGUCAUACAAUGGUCGGUACAGAGGGGUUGCCAACCCGCGAGGGGGGAGCUAAUCCCACAAAGCCGAUCGUAGUCCGGAUCGCAGUCUGCAACUCGACUGCGUGAAGUCGGAAUCGCUAGUAAUCGUGGAUCAGCAUGUCACGGUGAAUACGUUCCCGGGUCUU